CCAAUAGCGUAUAUUAGAGUUGUUGCAGUUAAAAAGCUCGUAGUUGAAUUUCGGGAUCAAUACGUCGGUCGUGCCUUUGGUACGCACUGGCGUCGUUGAUUUCUCCCUUCUGAUGAACCAUCAUGUCAUUAAUUUGGUGUUUUGGGGGGUCAGGACUGUUACUUUGAAAAAAUUAGAGUGUUUAAAGCAGGCAAACGCUUGAAUACAUUAGCAUGGAAUAAUGAAAUAGGACGUUCGAACCUAUUUUGUUGGUUUCUAGGUACAACGUAAUGAUUAAUAGGGAUAGUUGGGGGCAUUAGUAUUCAAUUGUCAGAGGUGAAAUUCUUGGAUUUAUUGAAGACUAACUACUGCGAAAGCAUUUGCCAAGGAUGUUUUCAUUAAUCAAGAACGAAAGUUAGGGGAUCGAAGACGAUCAGAUACCGUCGUAGUCUUAACCAUAAACUAUGCCGACUAGGGAUCGGAUGAAGUUAAUUUUUUAAUGACUCAUUCGGCGCCUUACG
This 500-nucleotide ribosomal RNA is filed under the name uncultured Glomeromycotina. Its description in RNAcentral is "partial small subunit ribosomal RNA". It matches the Rfam family "Eukaryotic small subunit ribosomal RNA", at positions 591 to 1092 of the family's 1831-position model. Lineage: Eukaryota; Fungi; Glomeromycota. The record is from RNAcentral.